GUGCUCGCUUCAGCAGCAUGUAAACUAAAGCUGGAAUGAUACAGAAAAGAUCAGCUCAGCCUCUGCACAAGGAUGACACGCAGAUGCCAUGCAGUUCAUCCAGGCCUC
Ailuropoda melanoleuca (giant panda) is the source of this 108-nucleotide small nuclear RNA. NCBI's taxonomy places the organism in Eukaryota, Metazoa, Chordata, Mammalia, Carnivora, Ursidae. The record is from Ensembl.